RNAcentral lists this small RNA (558 nucleotides) under uncultured bacterium. Its description in RNAcentral is "bacterial LSU rRNA". The stretch from base 445 to 558 matches the Rfam family "Bacterial large subunit ribosomal RNA", at positions 1 to 114 of the family's 2925-position model. The record is from RNAcentral.
UCUGGAGUCCGCGAGACCGCUCGGUCGGCCGCAACGAGACGAAAGUCAGAUGAGGGACGUGAUAACGGGAUGCCACAAAGGGGCAUCGUUAUACCGGAAACCGUUACAGACCUGAGACGAAAGACAAAAGAGACAAGGACUGUUUAUGGUUCUGUACUGCUUCUGAGAUCUAUUGAUAAGGGGGAUUAGCUCAGCUGGCUAGAGCACCUGCUUUGCAAGCAGGGGGUCAACGGUUCGAAUCCGUUAUUCUCCACACGAGAGAACAUUGACAUACUGGAAGAAAGGAAACGUCAACUGCAAGACGGAAGUCUUCGGAAGACGUGACCGAGAAAAUAAACGAGUAAAUCAGAAACGAGCGAUCGGGCGACCUAAAAAAAGGUAAGUUCGAACGACGAAGCGACGGACGGCGGAGUUGAAAGAUUCCGCAGGUCAAGCGACAGAACAAGGAAAGGAGAAAAGGGCACAUGAAGGAUGCCUAGGCUCUUGGAGACGAAGAAGGACGUGACAAGCUGCGAAAAGCCGCGGAGAGGGGCAAAUACCCAUUGACCCGCGGAUGUC